CGCACCUACCAUGGGAAACGCAUACGAGCCCCCGACCAAGACAGCGUGCCGGCUGGAGGUGGUGGGCAUGGUGUCGUCGAUCCGCUACGACUGCACCACGUCGUCAUGCCUCGUCACCACCAUUCUCAACGGGACGCACGUCUUCAACCUCGACGACAGCUUCUACGGUGCCAACCUCGCCGCAGGGCUGUCGGCCAGUAACGUGGAGAGCUACCCCUAUCACUCGAUCGGCGAGGAGCCGCUGAUGUCCUCAUGCUUCUUCAAUGCAGGUCAACUCUUCGCUGUGGGAUCGUCUUGUGGCAGUGUGACUGUCGUGUCACGCCGAUCACGUGCGUUGACGUCGUGCUACGCAACCCCUGACUCGUUUCCGAUUCGUUCUCUCUCUGAAAUUCCAGCCCAGCCAAACUGCCUACUGACGUGCACCGAGCAAGGGGCUGCAAUCGUUGACGUGGAGCGUUCGCAGCUGCGCAUGAGUUUGGCGAACCCCGCCGCUGGGCGUGCCGUCGCUGCGGUGCCGCUGCAGCUGCACACCUUUAUUGUGGCCAACUACGAUGGCAAGGUGUUGCUCUACGACACGCGUUAUCGAAGCUCUCCCAGCUCGGUGCUCUCGCUACCAGAUCAGAUCACUUGCCUCGCGGUCGCACGCGACACAUCAGAGGUCUGUGUCGGCACUGUUGGGGGUCGAGUCUUCACCCUGCGCUGCGCCGAGGGCCCUCAGCGGGAGCAGGCAUUUGGCAUGAGCAACAGGCGUUCGCCAGUGCGUUGUGUUGCGAUUGACAACGGCCGCAUCGCUGCGGGAGACUUGGCGGGCCGCCUUGCCCUGAUCGAUACAGCAGACGUGCCGGAUCCGACGGUCUACUGGUCUGCGGAGACGCUACUACGGCUUUCGAGGCCGAGCGGCCGUGCAGGCACGCUCGAUGUGCCCGUCGACACUUCCGCCGCCUCGGCGGCGUUUUCGGGUACCGAGGUAACCGCGGUGGCAUUGGCGCAGGGGACGGCUUGGAUGUCGUUUUGCUCUCCAAAGAAUGCUACGUCGCAGGUGGUAGCCAUACCUGCUUGAGGUCGCGGCACGAGGAGCAGACAAGACGGAACGGCCAUUUCCAGAGUAGGUAGCCGGAGCAUAGACAGUGUAACGUAGCGCUAAGUCGGGGUGGUGUGGGGAGAGCAACUUGGUCUACGAGAGGCGCCAUCCGGUAUGACGCUUAGUUAUGGCUUGUCUCCAUCCCUCCCCCCUUUUCACGCAUCCGGGACUGCUGUUCGUGUGUCUGCUUCAAGGACUGCCGUGGCUGCGCGGUGACAGAGACCGCUGCUCUGAUGCGUGUGAGCACACGGGUGACGAAGACUGCUUUCUUCUCUGUCUAGAUUCUUCUGUCCAUUACGCGGAGCGUAUCGUGAGGACCUCUUUAGACUCCGCAGCAGCAUUUUGCGCUCCGCGAGAGCCGCGUUUCAUGGGCGCGUACAGUUUUAGAUGACCAACGCUUACAGAAGGCGGCAACCAAG
RNAcentral lists this unclassified non-coding RNA (1500 nucleotides) under Leishmania donovani. Its description in RNAcentral is "gene:LdHU3.30.3370(CDS-product:hypothetical_prote in_conserved)". The record is from RNAcentral. Lineage: Eukaryota; Euglenozoa; Kinetoplastea; Trypanosomatida; Trypanosomatidae.